Pelobates cultripes (western spadefoot toad) is the source of this 282-nucleotide non-coding RNA. The record is from the annotation of a GenBank genome assembly. NCBI's taxonomy places the organism in Eukaryota, Metazoa, Chordata, Amphibia, Anura, Pelobatidae.
GGUAGAGCAUGUAAAAUUGGUGAGAUCGGUAUGGAGUUAAUGGGAAAAAAAUUUGAGAAAAGAGACAGGGAGUACAUAAAAGGGAUAUGGGGAACAAAAAAGGGGUAGCAUUUUUGUAAUUAAAAAGGCUGAGAGCACGAAAGAGAGACCAAUGAAAAGAUGGAGGAUAGCAUGGGAGAAGCGAAAAAGAAACAGGUAAAAUUGGAAACUAAGAGAAAAGGUGUGGAAAAACAAUAGAAAAGUGUGAAAUGCAUAUGUGAAAAUUGAACUAAGAGAACAGGU